CACAUGAUCUUAACCCGUAUGGUAACAAACAUUGUAUUGGGGGUGGAGAUGGGGAGGUGAAGACGAAGACCAUUUGCUGGUAAAUAGGUGGUGUCCCAAGACGUUUAGCCAGGAUUGCAGAUUAUGAGCACAAAAUUUCUUGGAGAUGAUUGUUGAGGGGUCGAAAAAAUAAUCAGCCACACCUCAUAGAAAUCUCGAGCUGACAAUCUAACUGGAAUUGUUUCCGAAGAGGUGACACGGUUGUUUGAGCCUUAAAUGUAGAACACAAUGAAUCUCAUUGACUGUUUUUUUUAGCUGAAGAAACUAGGCAAGCAGCUUCCAGACCAGGUCUUGCCUUCCUCUAUAAGGACAGCUUUUCAAGAGAUGUGGGCUAGUAAUGGUGAUGCAAUUAGUCGGCAGUAUGCUGGUACGGCUGCCAUGAAGGGAGACUUUACCAGGACCGGAGAGAGAAGAUUUACUGGCGUUAUGAAAGAUGGUUAUAAUUCCGCCAACAGGUUUGUUUUGAUUGCGAUCUGUUGGCAAAGGCAUUAAUAAGU
Molecule: long non-coding RNA, 536 nt
Organism: Orbicella faveolata
Lineage: Eukaryota; Metazoa; Cnidaria; Anthozoa; Scleractinia; Merulinidae
Source: RefSeq, a predicted model, not a curated record